This is a non-coding RNA of Phasianus colchicus (ring-necked pheasant), 5261 nucleotides long. Lineage: Eukaryota; Metazoa; Chordata; Aves; Galliformes; Phasianidae. The record is from RefSeq and is a predicted model, not a curated record.
UUUUUUUCCUAUGAAAAUUUUCUGAAAUCAAGAUGUCCUUUAUUUUGAUAUGUAUAUUAAUUUCCUAGAGCAUUAUGCUCAUAUCAUAGGUUUUUCUGGUUUUCAACUCAAAGGUAAGAACAGAGUUUCUGAUAAGAGCCAUCUGUAUGGAGGGGGAAUUAUUUUUUAAAGUUUUUGCUGAGAAUGUUAUUGGCAAUUUAGCACUUCGGUCAAAUUUGCAGACUGCAAAAUUCUUUCUUUAUGGUGAAGCAUAAAGAGACUAACGAUGAUUGUGUUAAGAUCAACGCUAAAGAAAGGCUCUUGCCUGUAUCUCUUCCUCCUUCUCCCAGAUUUUGUAGAACUGGGAAAUUUUGAAGUGCUUUGAAGAUGAGAAUUUGUAUAUAAACAUCAAGUAUUACGGCAGUGAUUUGUUAGCAUUCACUCUUAGUACAUAUGCAUAACAGCUGACGUGCUGCAGAAAUCCAAAGUGGAGUUCAAAUCCCACAAACUGUAUUUGUAGCUCUCUUCCUGCUGAGCUAAUGAUAUUUGUAGCGCUCUUCCUGCUGAAAUAGUGCUACCAAUAAAAACAGCCCCAGGGGUUUUUUUUGGGGAAUAGGAGGAGGGAUGAUUGGAAGGCGGAGGUGAAGGUGGGGACAUGAGUAAAAGGUGGACAUGACAGCUCUCUAAGCAGUCAGAGUACAUGCUCUGACAUGGCAUAUGAACAUCGGUUUGAAGAAUCCUUUCAUGUCUUCAGAAUGCUAAUAUGAAAUGCAAAACGUCAUGCUUUGGAUAGAUUGGUAGGAACAAAAUGUUCAGAUGCAAUAUGGUGCAUUAAGUACAGUCUCCAGUCUGUAUUCCUGGCUUUUCCAUUGGUUUAAAUCAGACUUGCUGUUUUUAAAGUCUCCCAUGUCAUGUUGAGUUACUGCUAUAGUCGUCUCUAAAAAUAAGUAUACCGUCAUUUCUGAGACCCACCAAAAGCUGAGGCUUUGGCAUAAUAAUCUUCAAUUUUUGUUACACUGUUGAUAUGACAGAGUUCUUUACAAUAUACAUACCUUGCGUAGUUCUUAACAGGUUCCCACCCUGCAAAGCCUUUAAAUUAAAUCAGGCAGAUGUUGUAGAAAAGGUGUGUUACACUUCUGAAUAAGUGGGGUUUUUCCAGGGGAAAGUGGGUAGAAGAAACACUAUAGUUUUUCCUACAUAAGAUAUAAUAUUGAUGAUUUCUAGCAUCUGCAUGGUAAAAUCCAGGUCUCUGCAAGGAUUCUGUAAUGAGAUAGUGAACAACUAGUAAUUAUCUUCUAGUACAAGGAAAGCUUUUCCAGCAGUACUUUCCUGAACUACACUGACACAGGAUGGAAGUUUUGAAAAGAUAGAAAGCAGUUAUUCAAAUAAGAAGCUGGUGUGAAAAAAGAUGAGAAAGGAGGCUAAAAGAGAAAAUGUGUUUUUUUUACCUGUUCCACAGUAUUUUGCCACAACUCAGCUCUCAAGCUUUUCUUCUCUCUCUCUGCACCAAUACCUAAUUUGAAUUUUAAAAUUACCACAUUGUUUCCUUCCUAAAAUUGUAACUGACAUUCCUAGAAAAUUUGCUUUCCCAGAAAAGCAUUGUGCGUAGGCUGUAAAUUUAGCUUUUCACAAGUGAGGAAAAGACAUUUUCUUCAAUAACCUACACUGCCAACGUGACCACAAAAUGUGCGCAGAGUCAGCAUUUGUCCGUUUAAAUCAGACUUUUGAGCACAUGAUUCACCACCAAAAUUCAUUUAUGCAGGUGUGGGCAUUGUACUUAUUUGAAAGGAUUUAUUCAGUUGAGUAGUGUAUUAUUUUCAUUGCGGGAUUUGGUUUUCAAUUCAUACUGUGUAACACAAAACUUCUUUGUAUUAUACACUAACAUUGUGGGAUUUUGUUGGCUUUUGUUUGGUUGUUUUUUUGUCAUUGUUGUUUGUUGGCUUUGUUUUGUUUCGUUUCUCCCAGUGAUAUAUUUUAAACUUCCUCAGUUCCAAUUUCUGCCUCUUAAUCCUGUAAGGUCCUUGGACUCUCCCGAUGAGGAAUUCAUAGAAUCACAGAAUGGCUUGGGUUGGAAGAGACCUUAAAGCCCAUUUAGAUCCAACCCCCUGCCAUGGGCUCGUUGCCACUCAGCAGACGAGGCUGCUCAGGACCCCAUCCAGCCUGGCCUUGAACAGCUCCAGUGAUGGGACAUCCACAUCUUCUCUGGGCAGCCUAUGCCAGUGCCAUUCCCAUGAUAUCACUCUCAUUCUAGAGAAUUUUACACAAGCCACUGUGAAAGAGUGUGCUCUGAUGCUACUUCUGCUAUAUAGAGCCUCCAUAGCGUAGGCUUGAUCCCAGGCUGUCAUCCAGAAUGUUCAGAAGUGUGUAGAAGGGGCUGCUCACAAGAAAGGAUGUGAAUGUGGACCGUAGCCUCUCCUCCUCAGCUAGCUGCUGUUUAUGGCAGUGUGGAUAUGACAGGUAAGCUUCAGCAUGGCUUACAUGCAUACCAAGACUGUAAAGAAUUCACAGCUAAUGCAUGCCAGUGUAGUGGUGUUUGAAAGGGAUGUUUAUACUCUCAUUAGCACUAAUCAGUGUGAUGUGCCAUCCUGAAGGUGAAAGAUACUGCAGGUAACUGGGCAAUUCACCCUCUCUUCUCUCACUUCCCCUCAUUUUAGGAUGGUGUUAUAGCUGCCCCUGCCACAGUGUGCAACCACAUCAUUCUCUGGCCUGCUGGAGUAGGGAGGGGUUGUGCUGAAGGUGAGAUCACCUUCACCUCUCUGCCACAAUUUGCAAGGAAGUGACAUCAAUGACAAAACACUCGGGCAGCAGUGCUUGCCACGAGCAACUCAAAACUGUAUGUAACAUUUCAACCCACUUUGUCAUGGCACUUCAAGUGUGCAGAGCAAGCUUCAAACUCCAGCAGUUAUGGAUUCAGAUUACAUGUUCGUGACAAGAAAAAAAGAAAAAAAAGAAAAAGAAAUAAUCAGAGGAUAGUUGCAGUGACUCAUAUCAUUGGGAGUCCCAUUCAAAUGCAGAGCAUUAAACAGAAAUUGGAAUUAGUAAUACUGCAGAAAGAACAAAAUAUAACAUAUUUGCAGAUUGGAAACAGCUUGGCUUUUUACAGAGUCGAAUUAGUAGCCUGCUGCUUUGAAGCUUGCACUGUCACUGACGCAGCAAAGAUGGCAUUAAGUAUGAGCUUUCUGGUUGCACAGAGUUCUGCGCUUGUAGUGUUGGCUAAGUGUGCUGGUACAAAAAAGGAAGGGUCAGCUGCUUUAAGUGCCCUGGCAAGGUGGGACAGGGGGAGCAAGAGGGGAUGCCUGUGUUCUGGCAGAACACAGAGGCGAUGAAGGAGAAUGGUCUGUUGAAGUCAUUCUCCUUAAAUGAGUGUAGUACUUCUCUGCUCAUGGAAAAAUAGGCUGUCGAUGUAGGAUGCUGGUGUGGAUGAUGAUUCAGGGCAAGAGGUUCUGGAAGUGCUUUGAAGAAUCCUCUGGAUGAGCCAGUACCUGCAGUGACUGCAAAGAAGGCCUCGGGAUUUUGUGUCCCGCCACUGAGGUGGUCUGGGCAGUGAGCCACGAAGUUGCUGACACUUCGUGUACCCAAGGAGCAGCCAAGAUCCAGGAUCACGGUGUCCGGCUGUCAGCAGAGAGCAGGGAGCAUUCACACAUGAACAAGUCUUCCUUUGAGAACUGGAGGCUGAAGCCUUCCUCAGAUAAAUGGCGUGCAUACAGGAGUAAGGAGCUGCCUGGACCCAGAGGGCUGAGAGGACUGCAGCACAGAGCUGCCUGUGGAUACAUUUGCUGAGCCAUUUCAGGUCCUGCAGUGCUCAUUGCAGCACCCGCUGGUAUUGGAGGUGCCCUGUGCAGCAGUAGUGGGGCAUUCCCACAGCCUGGAAACAAGCUGCAGCUCUCAUCACCACCAACAUCUCAGCCACGUGAGAAACAGGCCCAAGACAUCAUGCAAAUGCAGCUGAGCAUGGCCAUACUCCUGGCACUUCUGAACAUGGUACUGCAGGUGUGCUUCUUCCCCUUUGGAGACACUACCUGAGAGUGGGGUAUUUCCCAGAUGCGUCUAAAGGAAGAGCCUCUGCUCUGUCCGAUCCCGAUCCCGUUUUCUCUGUAACCCACGAUGUGCUGCCAUGGGUGCAGCAUUACGGCUGCUCACUGACCCUGCGAGCCGGGUGCCUUCAUCCCUCUCCCCACUGAAAACAGCCCUUAUGAGAAGCUUCAGUACAAGGUAUGUUCCAAGGGGAGAGCAGAAACACGAAGGCAUUUUACACAUUUCUUUUGGCUGGAGAAAAGUUACAAAAUAUGCAUAUGAAGUUACCCAGUGCCCGCGGGACAAAAUCCAACUUUUGAUUAUAUGCGGAAUUUCAACUUCUGCUAUAAACAAGGCGAGGAUUUAGUUUAUUUCGGCUCGGGGAGGGGCGAAACUCGCGUAGAGCCGAUGGCAGAGCGGUGAGGGAGGCGGUGCCGCCCCGCAGUGUGCGACCGCCGCGGUAGCGCCGCAACGUCCCGGCGCGUGGCUGUCAGCCGCGGUCUGGGGCAGGAGCGGAGGGAUUGGGGUGCGAGAUGGAAACUGCCGCCGGCGUGCGUGCUGUGGGAAGGAGCGGCCCUACCCACACAGAUAGCGCAGACGAACAAACAGAAGCUCGCGCGUGCCCACCACACCGGCGCCCCGCGGGUCCCGCACCGCACACCCGUGUGGCCCCGCGGUGCCGCCCCGCCCCGCCCCGCACUUGUUGCUGCCCCGCGCGGUGCUGACGUCACCGCUGCCGUCAUUACGGGGCACUGGAUUAUUUAUUUAUUUACCCAUUCAUUUAUUCACCCCACUUAUUUAUUUAUUUAUUUAUUUGCGUCUUACUCCCCCCCAUCCCUCCCGUCCCCUCGGCGUUUUGCGGCGUUGAGGCCGGGGCGGCUCCGAACCCCCCGCGAUGUUCCCCGCUUUUUUGCCGCGUCCCCUCCCGGCGCGGGAGCAUCACCGCGCGGGUGUUUAUAUAACCGCCCCCCGCCGCCGCCCUCCCGGGACCCCGCGCAUCCCGCGCCGGGGGGCUGGGGGGGAGCUGGGCGGCGGGAGGGAGAGCGCACAGCCCGGUCCCGCACCCCGCGCCCGGAGCGGGCCGCCCCGCCGGGCCGAGCAGCGCCCCUCGCGCCGCAGGAAAUGGGCUUUAUAUUAGACAUAUACGCGCAGGUCCUGUCAGAUCCGCAGCGCUCCCGCCCGUCCUUUCGGGCCCCCAAAAAUCGGGGGACGCCGCCGUCGCCCCUCUCUCCGCGCAGCCGCCCCUCCGCCGCCCCCCCGCGCCUCGC